AUGCAUGUUUUGGCCCUGGGCUUUUCUUGGCCUCUCUUUUUCUAUAGAGUGGACCAGUACAAACAUGCUAGAUUAACAUAACAUUUGGGAGUUAACAGGGCCACCGGUCUAUAAAGGUCAGGCUGAGUUGGUAGUAUAAUACUCCCACAUUC
This is a small nucleolar RNA of Acanthochromis polyacanthus (spiny chromis), 152 nucleotides long. The record is from Ensembl. Lineage: Eukaryota; Metazoa; Chordata; Actinopteri; Pomacentridae.